GACGAACGCUGGCGGCGUGCUUAACACAUGCAAGUCGAACGGAAAGGCCCUGCUUUUGUGGGGUGCUCGAGUGGCGAACGGGUGAGUAACACGUGAGUAACCUGCCCUUGACUUUGGGAUAACUUCAGGAAACUGGGGCUAAUACCGGAUAGGAGCUCCUGCUGCAUGGUGGGGGUUGGAAAGUUUCGGCGGUUGGGGAUGGACUCGCGGCUUAUCAGCGUGUUGGUGGGGUAGUGGCUUACCAAGGCUUUGACGGGUAGCCGGCCUGAGAGGGUGACCGGCCACAUUGGGACUGAGAUACGGCCCAGACUCCUACGGGAGGCAGGAGUGGGGAAUAUUGCACAAUGGGCGGAAGCCUGAUGCAGCAACGCCGCGUGCGGGAUGACGGCCUUCGGGUUGUAAACCGCUUUCGCCUGUGACGAAGCGUGAGUGACGGUAAUGGGUCAGGAAGCGCCGGCUAACUACGUG
RNAcentral lists this ribosomal RNA (468 nucleotides) under uncultured bacterium. RNAcentral describes it as "partial 16S ribosomal RNA". It matches the Rfam family "Bacterial small subunit ribosomal RNA", at positions 28 to 507 of the family's 1533-position model. The record is from RNAcentral.